AUCAUAGUGAUGAUAAAAUCAAACUGAGCGCCGUUAUCGAUCUAUUUUUGAUUGGUUCUGGCCUGUUAAAGGGAUGUCGCAAUGCGAGGCAUUUGUCUGAUUGAAGC
Molecule: non-coding RNA, 107 nt
Organism: Drosophila ficusphila
Lineage: Eukaryota; Metazoa; Arthropoda; Insecta; Diptera; Drosophilidae
Source: Rfam